RNAcentral lists this long non-coding RNA (1605 nucleotides) under Mus musculus (house mouse). RNAcentral's name for it is "RIKEN cDNA 5530601H04 gene". The record is from RNAcentral. Lineage: Eukaryota; Metazoa; Chordata; Mammalia; Rodentia; Muridae.
AGGAUGCCAGGGAUGAUGGGAAGCCUGUUCUUGUUUAUCGGUUUGUACGGAACUUCACCCGCGGUAGAGUACGGCCUGAGAAUUUUGUUCCAGCACCGGUGUGAGGUUUGGAGUGCAUAAUGAGGAGAAAUAAAAACAGAAAGAUCUCCAGAAAGAAGCCAUGGUAAGAUUCAAGGUUUCACAGUCCAAGCUAAUGCCUGUGGACACUUGACCAAGUGAUCUGAGAAAAUUGGAUUUCUGGCAAAACAAGUGUACCUAGACUCAGGCAAGGGUGGAGAACAGAGGGCGACUAGAUUAAAUGGAAAGAAUGCCCAGGCAUCCCAUUGCCUCCCUUUGACGUUCCAGAACUUCAUCAAGACAGUGAUGAGCUACAUGUACACCUGGAGGAGGACCAUGCAGAAUACCAUCCAGCGCCAUGAACACUAGUCAGUCAGUCAGUAAUGGUGGGCUUCUUGGUGUGCUCCAGCUCAAUUUUCUCAUGUUUGAUGAUUAGUUCAGGAUCAAGCUCAGAAGCGCACAGCUGCCAGCAAGCAGUCUACUACUGAACUGCACCAUCUCUCCAGCCUGUGCUUACUCUUGAAUAGCCCCAAAGUAGUCAAUGGGCUAUUUGGUACUGGACAACCAAUUGGAGUGUUGUUUGCGGGGGAGGACCACCUCUCCAGGUAGAAUCUAAACAUCAGAAAAUCAACAACCCAGUUAAAAUAAUCUAGAGCACUAACCAGAGCGUUCUCAGAAGAAGCACUACAAACGGCUAAGAAACACGAGACUGCUCAACAUCCUUUGCCAUCAGGGAAACACAGAAGCUCACUUUUCAGUUUUCAUCUUUCUGGAGUCAGAAUGGUUAUCGUCAAGAAUGCCAGUGACAUGGAUGUAGAGGACGGAUUCCUUCAUUGUCUAAGUCUCUGGAAAUAGUGCAGAAGAGUAGUCAGGGACUAAAAGAUGGAAGACAGAAAGGGCUGCAAAGUUCCAUCCUAGAGACUCAAUACAGCCAUUGCAAUGAUGAACUCACAAAAACUGCAUUUACCUGAACUUAGCCUGCUCAAGACAUUGAAAGUGUUUCAAAGUAGCUUUUCCUGUUGUGAAUGUACCUCUCAGCUAGUCUGGUUUCUGGUUCAGAGCUCUUAGGCACAGAGUUGUCUUGAACAUUUGCUUACAGGCACUUGUGUAGAUAUCAGCUGCUUUUUUUUGUUAAAUCUCUGAAAUAAAUGCCUAGGCGUUCAAUGGCAAUGUUAUAUCAGUAUGUAUUUAGCUUAGUUUUAAAAUAAGAAACUGUCAAAUACUUUUGUAGAAUUACUGGACCAUUUUACACCCCUGCCAACAAAGUAAGAUUGAUCCAGCUCCCCACAUUCUCAUAAACAUUUGUUUUUGUUUCUUUAAGAAGACAAGUUAACCAUUCCAUUUAUUGAGAAUUUACUUACCAUUCAGUGCAUUGCUUAGAUAUGUAGUAUUCAGUUUUUAGUACACAUACAAGGUUGUGUAUCGAUUACUACUAAUUCCAGAACAUUUCCAUUACCAUAGAAAAAGAAACCCAAUAUUCAUUUUCAUCUCUCCUCUAUGGACUUACCUAAUCUAGAUAUACCAAAUAAAUGGAAUUUUUAUAAAAUA